This 72-nucleotide transfer RNA is filed under the name Anaeromyxobacter dehalogenans 2CP-C. RNAcentral describes it as "tRNA-Val (GAC) (tRNA-Val-GAC-1-1)". It matches the Rfam family "tRNA". From Rfam's summary of the family: Transfer RNA (tRNA) molecules are approximately 80 nucleotides in length. Their secondary structure includes four short double-helical elements and three loops (D, anti-codon, and T loops). The record is from Rfam by way of RNAcentral. RNAcentral also lists the same sequence under 3 other names. Lineage: Bacteria; Pseudomonadati; Myxococcota; Myxococcia; Myxococcales; Anaeromyxobacteraceae.
GGGCGCGUGGCUCAGUGGUAGAGCACCUGCUUGACACGCAGGGGGUCGCUGGUUCGAUCCCAGCCGUGCCCA